Molecule: non-coding RNA, 27 nt
Filed under: Mus musculus (house mouse)
Lineage: Eukaryota; Metazoa; Chordata; Mammalia; Rodentia; Muridae
Source: RNAcentral
UAUAUUAAAGGCAGAGUGCAGCGCAGC